CGGUAACAGGAAGCAGCUUGCUGCUUUGCUGACGAGUGGCGGACGGGUGAGUAAUGUCUGGGAAACUGCCUGAUGGAGGGGGAUAACUACUGGAAACGGUAGCUAAUACCGCAUAACGUCGCAAGACCAAAGAGGGGGACCUUCGGGCCUCUUGCCAUCGGAUGUGCCCAGAUGGGAUUAGCUAGUAGGUGGGGUAACGGCUCACCUAGGCGACGAUCCCUAGCUGGUCUGAGAGGAUGACCAGCCACACUGGAACUGAGACACGGUCCAGACUCCUACGGGAGGCAGCAGUGGGGAAUAUUGCACAAUGGGCGCAAGCCUGAUGCAGCCAUGCCGCGUGUAUGAAGAAGGCCUUCGGGUUGUAAAGUACUUUCAGCGGGGAGGAAGGGAGUAAAGUUAAUACCUUUGCUCAUUGACGUUACCCGCAGAAGAAGCACCGGCUAACUCCGUGCCAGCAGCCGCGGUAAUACGGAGGGUGCAAGCGUUAAUCGGAAUUA
RNAcentral lists this ribosomal RNA (497 nucleotides) under bacterium CIM001. Its description in RNAcentral is "bacterial SSU rRNA". It matches the Rfam family "Bacterial small subunit ribosomal RNA", at positions 67 to 553 of the family's 1533-position model. The record is from RNAcentral.